AAGUUGAAAAGAACUCUGGAGAGAGAGUCAAAAGACCGUGAAACCACUCAGAGUAUAAGCCAAUGGCGCUAGAAGGCAGCCGGUGGCACGGCGGUCCGGGCUUCGGUCCGUGUCGCCCGAAAUGCCUGGGAAUUGUGUAGUGGGGCGGGUAGCGAUGUGCUGCUCUCCCUUCAGCCGAGCCUGUGCAUGGACGUACACGCGUGGUGUUGUUCCGCUGCCAGGCCCGUCGCUGGACGAACCUGUCGAGGCAUCACACGGUUACUGCCCACCACAGCUCGUUGCUUGGUCACCCGCUGGGUCUGGGAAUGCAGAAGCUUCAUCCAGGGUCCGGGCUUGAAGGUGCUUGGAGGAACGACGAUUGAUCCCGUACGUUUGUCAAACGUGCGCGGACCCGUUCACGCCGCGCUCGCGCCAUCCUGGCUCUGACUGCGGACGUAGACGUGGUGUGAUCCAAACGGCGACGAUGCUGCAAUUGGCCAGACACGAGUAACCCUCAGCUCCUUCGCCAUGUGCCGGUGUCGGGGUACCUGCGGGCAGGCUGCCUGCGUCGCAUGCGAAGCAAACGCUCAGCCUGGGGGUUCGUCUGACUGGUGAUGCUCUAGCGACCAUCGGUCACGUCUCGAAACACGGGCCAAGGAGUAUAGCAUGUGUGCGAGUCUGAGGGUAUCUCUAAACCCGAGGGCGAAGUGAAAGCAAAGGUGUGGCGGCGCUUGCGCCGUCAGCCGUGUAAUGAUGGCUGCGAGUACCGAGCUGAUCCUGGGCCCCAAGUUGGGGGCAGGCGCAAGCUCCGGGCUCACGUUUUCGUUCGGCACGCUCCCUGAUGUGGGCUGGACGGUGAGCACCGCGGAGCACGCAUGCUAUGACCCGAAAGAUAGUGAACUAUGCCUGGCGAGGGUGAAGCCCCAGGAAACUGGGGUGGAGGCCCGUAGCCGUUGUGACGUGCAAAUCCAUGGCGUCAGUUGGGCAUAGGGGCGAAAGACCAAUCGAACUAUCUAGUAGCUGGUUCCCUCCGAA
This 1014-nucleotide ribosomal RNA is filed under the name Africorchestia tricornuta. Its description in RNAcentral is "eukaryotic LSU rRNA". It matches the Rfam family "Eukaryotic large subunit ribosomal RNA", at positions 361 to 965 of the family's 3401-position model. The record is from RNAcentral. Lineage: Eukaryota; Metazoa; Arthropoda; Malacostraca; Amphipoda; Talitridae.